This 117-nucleotide ribosomal RNA is filed under the name Escherichia coli. RNAcentral's name for it is "partial 16S ribosomal RNA". It matches the Rfam family "Bacterial small subunit ribosomal RNA", at positions 1 to 108 of the family's 1533-position model. The record is from RNAcentral. Lineage: Bacteria; Pseudomonadati; Pseudomonadota; Gammaproteobacteria; Enterobacterales; Enterobacteriaceae. RNAcentral also lists the same sequence under 2 other names.
UUAAAUUGAAGAGUUUGAUCAUGGCUCAGAUUGAACGCUGGCGGCAGGCCUAACACAUGCAAGUCGAACGGUAACAGGAAGCAGCUUGCUGUUUCGCUGACGAGUGGCGGACGGGUG